GUUCCGUAGGGUGAACCUGCGGAGGGAUCAUUACCGAGUUUACAACUCCCAAACCCAAUGUGAACGUUACCAAACUGUUGCCUCGGCGGGAUCUCUGCCCCGGGUGCGUCGCAGCCCCGGACCAAGGCGCCCGCCGGAGGACCAACCAAAACUCUUAUUGUAUACCCCCUCGCGGGUUUUUUUAUAAUCUGAGCCUUCUCGGCGCCUCUCGUAGGCGUUUCGAAAAUGAAUCAAAACUUUCAACAACGGAUCUCUUGGUUCUGGCAUCGAUGAAGAACGCAGCGAAAUGCGAUAAGUAAUGUGAAUUGCAGAAUUCAGUGAAUCAUCGAAUCUUUGAACGCACAUUGCGCCCGCCAGUAUUCUGGCGGGCAUGCCUGUCCGAGCGUCAUUUCAACCCUCGAACCCCUCCGGGGGGUCGGCGUUGGGGAUCGGCCCUGCCUUGGCGGUGGCCGUCUCCGAAAUACAGUGGCGGUCUCGCCGCAGCCUCUCCUGCGCAGUAGUUUGCACACUCGCAUCGGGAGCGCGGCGCGUCCACAGCCGUUAAACACCCAACUUCUGAAAUGUGACCUCGGAUCAGUAGAUGC
RNAcentral lists this ribosomal RNA (584 nucleotides) under Trichoderma harzianum. Its description in RNAcentral is "eukaryotic LSU rRNA". The stretch from base 235 to 388 matches the Rfam family "5.8S ribosomal RNA". The record is from RNAcentral. Lineage: Eukaryota; Fungi; Ascomycota; Sordariomycetes; Hypocreales; Hypocreaceae.